Molecule: ribosomal RNA, 120 nt
Filed under: Helianthus annuus (common sunflower)
Lineage: Eukaryota; Viridiplantae; Streptophyta; Magnoliopsida; Asterales; Asteraceae
Source: RNAcentral
GGUUGCGAUCAUACCAGCACUAAUGCACUGGAUCCCAUCAGGACUCCGCAGUUAAGCGUGCUUGGGCGAGAGUAGUACUAGGAUGGGUGACCCCCUGGGAAGUCCUCGUGUUGCAACCCC